GUGUGUGUGCGUGUGCGCGCACUCCCACACCUUAUCACAUUAGGGCACAGUUGUGACUGAGACUAAGCCAUUUCUCCUCGUCCUGCCCUUUCCUUUCUUCCCUUCCUCUCCCUCCUGCCCUCCAGCUCCUUUUCUUUCUCUCUCCCCUUUAACCUUUCUCUUCAAAGUCUGCUGCAGGCGCUCCGCUUUCUUGCAAACCCAGGGUAAUUGAUCAUUAACAGCUUAGAGAGGUAUUAGUGAGGAGGAGUAAAGGGGGCCUUGCUUUUUCAAGUUUUUGCUUCAAAGAAACUCUCUGGCUAAAAAGGAUGAAACUGUUGAUCAGGAUAUUGGGGCUGGAACCUACUGCUUGCAAGUAUCACUUCAGUCAAGGACCCUAGGAUUUUUUUUUCCUUAGAGAAGAACUUGUACUAAUUAACUAACUAACUAACUGACUAACUAACUAACUAACUAACUAAAAAGUGACCACUGUUUUCCAAAACAUUAUCAGAGACAAGAGAGAUGACUUUGGUGUUGGCUUGCCGUAGUUGACAGAAAGAUGCCUGCAGAAGAGCGAGCAGUGAAACAUUCUCAGACAGGGGCUUGUUUGUGUUUAUUUGGCUUCCUCUGCAAAGUGCUCUAGCUGGACGUAAUCAGCGCCGUCCCUCGGCCUUUGUAGCGGCUUCGAGUAAUGGUGUGCAGAUGUCCAAUGUGACGUGUCUGGGCACCAGCAUCCCACACAGAGACAGACUCCAUACCCACUAAACAUGAACUCCCCAUCAUCUCUUCCUUGC
This is a long non-coding RNA of Peromyscus eremicus (cactus mouse), 770 nucleotides long. RefSeq lists it as uncharacterized. The transcript is spliced from 3 exons. Lineage: Eukaryota; Metazoa; Chordata; Mammalia; Rodentia; Cricetidae. The record is from RefSeq and is a predicted model, not a curated record.